Long non-coding RNA from Peromyscus californicus insignis, 2427 nucleotides. RefSeq lists it as uncharacterized. The record is from RefSeq and is a predicted model, not a curated record. Lineage: Eukaryota; Metazoa; Chordata; Mammalia; Rodentia; Cricetidae. The transcript has 4 exons.
UCUGCUCAUCAACUCAGGGAAAUUUCCCCUGUUCUCUCUUUAGCUGGUGUCUGCUCCAUCUCCUCUCUCCUUCUGAGACCUGGCAACGUGUCUGUUAGAGUCUUGGCAUUGACAUACUGGAGAAAAGCAGUCAUACAGGAGUGGCAGGAAGGGAAAUAGGCAGAAGCCAAGGCCCUGACACUGAAGAAAAGAAACACCUCAGAGGACAAGAUGCAGUCAUACUGGACUCCGAUGGCCAUGAAGGGAGAGGGCUGAACAGCAACAGAGAUCCCAGAAGCAGGACUGAAAGCGGCUUCUCCCAAAACACAGCAGCAAGCCCAGGAAGCCACCUCAGAGCCCAAGUCUAUCUUGAGAAACAUCUCAGGCACUGAUGAGGACAUACAUUAUGAAACCAUGGAUGGACCAAAGCAUUCUGUAAACACCCGUAUGUUUUUUAUUGAUUUAUAACUGAAUGAUCUAUUGCUGAACAUGAAUAUUGAUACUCUCACUUGACAUUGCAUGAGCACCCAUCGCUCCCUUUAGGUCUGUCAACAGGUAACAUUUGCUCUAUACGUUUGUACGACUUGGGACCGGGCACAUAGGUACUUACAAGUGUUUAUAGCCUUUUUGCUGAAUUGAGCCCUCUGCCACUACUGAAUGACAUCCUUUGACAAGGUUUUAACCUGACGUCUAUUUUAUCUGAUAGAAGUUUCUCCUGCUCACUUUAGGCCUCUGUUCGCUUGGAGGAUCUUUAUCCCUCUCUUCAUCUUUGAUCUUUGCGCCCCUGUACCAGAGAGCACUUUCGGCCAUCUGAAAUUACUCAUCUCCUAGAGAGGUGCCCUGGAUCACACCCUUUAACAGACCUGAUGCAGAAUACAUGCUCAUGGAGAACCUGUGAAAUGAAUGAAAAAACUCCCCCGAAUACAACUCUUAAAGAGAGAGCUUUACAGCUCCCAGCAUGAUGUAGAUAGAAAUGUGAACUAGCCCGGCAGCUGGCGACACUUCUGUCCUCUUGUUUGAUGGUCUUCCUUACAGUUCUGCAGUUCUGCAGUCCUCACAUUCUCACGGCCCCGAGAGCCUCAGUGCAGUACGUGGUGAUUAGUACUCCUACAAGAAGGUCAAAGCAGGACAUGUUUGGUGACCAAAUACGUGAUGCAAAAUGGGGUAGAUUAUACAUUGUUGACCUUUGGAAGAUGUUCAGUAAAAGUAUAAACCAAAACAAAGAAAACUUAUGUGAAGUGUGUCUUUCAAUUAAAUUUGAACAGAAUUGCUUUCUCAUAUAACAUCUCUCAGCAAGUCUGAGGAGUUAGCCUCCUCAGAUAACACACUUUACAACUGGGUUUUGAAAGCUUGUUUGGAUGUAAGAGAAGAGGCAGAAAAUCAACAUAAGAAGUUUCCUGUUUGGGGGGCUUACUAGCAUUGGUCCACCAGACCAAGUUUACAAUCAAUAUUAAAUAUGGUGGAAAACAGGCAGCACUCGCCUUGAAAGCAGAGUCCCACGUCAGACCACACUUAGGCAGUGGAACACUAAGUCUGGCUAAAAGCACCCUGUAGACAACAGGAUGAUUAAUAAACAAUCCAUACUGUCAAUAAAGUCUCCAGCUUUGUCUUCAUGAAGACAAGAGUCUGUUCUUACCAAAACAGAACUCUGUUAUGCAUGAUGUGUGAGUCCCUCAUUAUUCUUUUUCCAACAUCUGUGUCCAUUUCCACAGAUAGUUACCAACUCUGUAAAGCAUGUCUUGUUGUAUUUUUAGCAAGCAUAUUGAGGUGGUACUGACAGGAAAUAAAUUCCAUGUGUCUGGAGUGUACAAUUUGCCAUUUUAAUGCAGGUCAGCACAUAUGAGGCCAACAGGGUAGUGAGACUGAUGCCAUCUCCAUCCUUGAAACUGCCUCUCUCCCAUGGUUCCUGCUCCAAGCCUGACUCUAGGAAAGCACACAGUCCUUUCUACCCAACUAGUACUUCGUCUUGUAUUUCUUCUGGAUGUGAUGUCUCAUCUGGGUUCUUUCUCACACUGUAAUCUGUGUAAUUCUGAAUCAUUUGUAUAGCAGUGUGGUUCAAUGUUCACAUCUCAAUGUUACUUCAUUGCAUGGUGAAUGAUGUUAUCCCAACUAGCAGUCUGUGAAUAACAGCCUAUCAAAUGCUGGCUUACCACGACCGGGUGCCUGUACUGCUGAUAACUGCCUCAGUACUGGACUCUCCUAUAAUUCUCCAUAUGAACCAAUGGCUGAGGAUCCCCCAACUAGAUCAGGCCCUCUGGAUAAGUGAGACAGUUGAUUAGCUUGAUCUCUUUGGGAGGCAUCCAGGCAGUGGGACUGGGAUCUGUCCUCAGUGCAUGUGCUGGCUGUUUGGAACCUGGGCUUAUGCAGGGACACUUGGCUCACCCUGGGAGGAGGGGACUGGACCUGCCUGGACUGAAUCUACCAAGUUGAACUCAAUCCUCAGGGGAG